Long non-coding RNA from Aedes aegypti (yellow fever mosquito), 532 nucleotides. RefSeq lists it as uncharacterized. The transcript has 2 exons. Lineage: Eukaryota; Metazoa; Arthropoda; Insecta; Diptera; Culicidae. The record is from RefSeq and is a predicted model, not a curated record.
GUCAAGAAUGUUGUUUUUGUUUUGGGUAUCCGAUUUCGCAAAAAAUCCAGUAGUGCUUUGGCGGAUCUUUUGCCAUGCUAGGGAAAAAGUGUGAGUUGCUUGAUUUGCUGCCGCUUGCUGAUGCACACCCCGGCGGAACAUAUUUAUUAGCAUCACGCCUACCGGAGAAGCGUCGGUGAACGCAGAAAAAUCGCCUAACGGGGAAGCGUCGGUGAACGCAGGACACUAGUACACCAGCAAGGACUACAAAUUGGUGCGUGGAGAACACCCAACCGGUCCGCUCGCUACGCCCUCAGUGGAGAACAGAUGACAAUGCCCUUCAACAGAAUCGGUGUCCAAGUGAAAGGCCACGUUGACGCCAUUCGGAACCCCAGCGGAGUCGAUUGAACAUCCUGGUCGACAAGUUUCAGCAAUGGAAAGAAAGAAGAACAAACGAUCUGUCCUGAGUGGGUUCGCGAUGCAGGCUACCAGAUUCAGGGACCACAUCCCCACUUGGCUGUUAAAGAAAUGAAUAAACUGUUAACAUAUCCUA